GCCCGGUUAGCUCAAUCGGUAGAGCGUGAGACUCUUAGAAAUACCAUCUGAUGGUAUCGAGUACGCGAUCUCAAGGUUGCGGGUUCGACCCCCGCAUCGGGCU
RNAcentral lists this transfer RNA (103 nucleotides) under Fusarium vanettenii 77-13-4. RNAcentral describes it as "tRNA-Lys for anticodon CUU". It matches the Rfam family "tRNA". From Rfam's summary of the family: Transfer RNA (tRNA) molecules are approximately 80 nucleotides in length. Their secondary structure includes four short double-helical elements and three loops (D, anti-codon, and T loops). Further hydrogen bonds mediate the characteristic L-shaped molecular structure. tRNAs have two regions of fundamental functional importance: the anti-codon, which is responsible for specific mRNA codon recognition, and the 3' end, to which the tRNAs corresponding amino acid is attached (by aminoacyl-tRNA synthetases). tRNAs cope with the degeneracy of the genetic code in two manners: having more than one tRNA (with a specific anti-codon) for a particular amino acid; and 'wobble' base-pairing, i.e. permitting non-standard base-pairing at the 3rd anti-codon position. The record is from Rfam by way of RNAcentral. Lineage: Eukaryota; Fungi; Ascomycota; Sordariomycetes; Hypocreales; Nectriaceae.